This 432-nucleotide ribosomal RNA is filed under the name uncultured bacterium. Its description in RNAcentral is "partial 16S ribosomal RNA". It matches the Rfam family "Bacterial small subunit ribosomal RNA", at positions 28 to 507 of the family's 1533-position model. The record is from RNAcentral.
GAUGAACGCUGGCGGUAUGCUUAACACAUGCAAGUCGAACGGUCACUUCGGUGAUAGUGGCGGACGGGUGAGUAACGCGUGAGAAUCUGUCUUCAGGUCGGGGACAACAGUUAGAAAUGACUGCUAAUACCGGAUGUGCCUUUGGGUGAAAGAUUUAUUGCCUGAAAAAGAGCUCGCGUCAGAUUAGCUAGUAGGUGGUGUAAGAGACUACCUAGGCUCCGAUCUGUAGCUGGUCUGAGAGGACGAUCAGCCACACUGGGACUGAGACACGGUCCAGACUCCUACGGGAGGCAGCAGUGGGGAAUUUUCCGCAAUGGGCGAAAGCCUGACGGAGCAAUACCGCGUGAGGGACGAAGGCUUUUGGGUCGUAAACCUCUUUUCUCAAGGAAGAUGAUGACGGUACUUGAGGAAUAAGCAUCGGCUAACUCUGUG